This 531-nucleotide long non-coding RNA is filed under the name Homo sapiens (human). Its description in RNAcentral is "HSALNT0135823". The record is from RNAcentral. Lineage: Eukaryota; Metazoa; Chordata; Mammalia; Primates; Hominidae.
CAGCAAAUAUCUUCCACUGAGAUCGUGUGGUUUUAAUCAUACAAGGAGAGUGGCAGAAGAACAGAAAGAUUGAAACCAAGGACAGAGAACACCUGAAAUUGGUUCAGGGUCAUAUGUCACAGCGCUGGGCAUUUCAUUUGGGUAUCUAUCAUCAUUCCCAUUCUGCAAUGAGGAAAUGCUGUCAGAGUGAUUAAGUAAUUUGCCCAUGGUCUCACAUAGAAGCCUGUCUUCUCCAGGGAACACAGCACUCAGAAUCGUCUCGGCCCCUGCAUAAGCCUGCAUGAGCCUGGGCUCUGGGGACCCAUCCUGGUGCAUCAUUCGUUGGCUCUGUGACAAUGGGCACAUCGUUUAACCUCUCUUGGCUUCAUUCUCCUUACUGGAAUGAUGGAGAGAGUUUUGCCUAUUUCAGAGGCUUGCUCUUCUAUACGUGAGCCUAUAAGUAACUUGUCUUAAGAAUUUCCACUCCUUCUGUACUCUGAUUUAAAUUUGAAGGCAUCAAAACAAAAACAAUCAAGAUUUCAGAUUCCAAAU